RNAcentral lists this ribosomal RNA (497 nucleotides) under uncultured bacterium. Its description in RNAcentral is "partial 16S ribosomal RNA". It matches the Rfam family "Bacterial small subunit ribosomal RNA", at positions 28 to 507 of the family's 1533-position model. The record is from RNAcentral.
GAUGAACGCUGGCGGCGUGCCUAAUACAUGCAAGUCGAGCGAACAGACGAGGAGCUUGCUCCUCUGACGUUAGCGGCGGACGGGUGAGUAACACGUGGAUAACCUACCUAUAAGACUGGGAUAACUUCGGGAAACCGGAGCUAAUACCGGAUAAUAUAUUGAACCGCAUGGUUCAAUAGUGAAAGACGGUUUUGCUGUCACUUAUAGAUGGAUCCGCGCCGCAUUAGCUAGUUGGUAAGGUAACGGCUUACCAAGGCAACGAUGCGUAGCCGACCUGAGAGGGGGAUACGCCCACCUGGAACUGAGACACGGUCCAGACUCCUACGGGAGGCAGCAGUGGGGAAUCUUGCAGAAAGGGCGGAAGCCUGAUGGGGCCAAACCGCGGGGGGGAAGAAGGCCUUCGGGUUGUAAAACCCUUUUUUUGGGGAAAAAAAAAAGGUGUAUAAAACCUGGCUGUUCUGACGGUACCCAAAGAAAAAGCCCCGGCUAACUUCGUG